RNAcentral lists this long non-coding RNA (355 nucleotides) under Mytilus galloprovincialis (Mediterranean mussel). Lineage: Eukaryota; Metazoa; Mollusca; Bivalvia; Mytilida; Mytilidae. The record is from RNAcentral.
CUUUUCCCAUUGCAAUAAGGAAAUUUUAAAAAAUACUCUAGGUUAGUCAGUUUCAAAAUACGUUAGAUUAAUUUUAUGUUUCCCCUUUCCUUCAAAUUUUUAUAUUCACCUCUGUUCCUCAACAGCUUAACAAAUUAUCAUGCCAUUUCUUUGAAUCUGACUAACAUGAUGUACUAUAUUUCUGUGGUAUUUGGCCUCUUGUGGAGAGUAGUCUUAUUCGCAAUCAUACCACAUCUUCUUUUUUUACAUAGCACCUCUUUCAUUUCUUCGUGAACAAAUUUAAGGUUUCAUUAUACAUGACAUCAAUUAUAUGUAUUUGCACACAUCUGUCCAAAUUAUGUUUCAGUUCUCCUCC